UACGUAGGGUGCUAGCGUUAUCCGGAUUUACUGGGCGUAAAGGGUGCGUAGGUGGUCUUUCAAGUCGGUGGUUAAAGGCUACGGCUCAACCGUAUUAAGCCGCCGAAACUGGAAGACUUGAGUGCAGGAGAGGAAAGUGGAAUUCUCAGUGUAGCGGUGAAAUGCGUAGAUAUUAGGAGGAAUACCAGUGGCGAAGGCGACUUACUGGACUUCAACUGACGCUGAGGAACGAAAGCAUGGGUAGCAAACAGG
RNAcentral lists this ribosomal RNA (252 nucleotides) under uncultured bacterium. RNAcentral describes it as "partial 16S ribosomal RNA". It matches the Rfam family "Bacterial small subunit ribosomal RNA", at positions 524 to 776 of the family's 1533-position model. The record is from RNAcentral.